This 404-nucleotide ribosomal RNA is filed under the name uncultured bacterium. Its description in RNAcentral is "bacterial SSU rRNA". It matches the Rfam family "Bacterial small subunit ribosomal RNA", at positions 355 to 774 of the family's 1533-position model. The record is from RNAcentral.
UGGGGAAUAUUGCACAAUGGAGGAAACUCUGAUGCAGCGACGCCGCGUGAGUGAAGAAGGUCUUCGGAUCGUAAAACUCUGUCCUUGGUGACGAAAAAAAUGACGGUAGCCAAGGAGGAAGCCCCGGCUAACUACGUGCCAGCAGCCGCGGUAAUACGUAGGGGGCGAGCGUUGUCCGGAUUUACUGGGCGUAAAGGGUGAGUAGGCGGUAAUAUGUGUCAGAUGUAAAAGGCUAUGGCUUAACCAUAGUUAGCAUUUGAAACUGUAUUACUUGAGUGCAGGAGAGGUUAGUGGAAUUCCUAGUGUAGCGGUGAAAUGCGUAGAUAUUAGGAGGAACACCAGUGGCGAAGGCGACUUACUGGACUGUAACUGACGCUGAGUCACGAAAGCGUGGGUAGCAAACA